Molecule: long non-coding RNA, 1315 nt
Filed under: Triticum aestivum (bread wheat)
Lineage: Eukaryota; Viridiplantae; Streptophyta; Magnoliopsida; Poales; Poaceae
Description: long non-coding RNA (TAES_LNC019272)
Source: RNAcentral
UCGUCCGCCGCUGCGGAUGGCACGCCUUCAACGAUGCUGCUGCAGCAUGAGGUACUGACGUUGACGCGCAUGGCGUGGUGGCCAUGCUCGUAGGCGUCCAUGAUGUGUGUGCGACAUGGCAACAUCUCCAAUCUGGAGCGGGUAAGCACCCCCAGCCCAAACACGUUGAGGAUUUAUUCUUUGCUUCUAGUGCUCGGGAUUUGGGGAAAAACUGCUUUUUUUCUUUCUCGGGAUCUUUUCUUAAAAAAAAUUUGAAUCCUUUUCUGAACCGAGGCCACAAUCAGUGCUAAUAUAUUAGGCGAAAAUUUAAUUUCGGCUAUUUCAUAAUUAGCAAACAUUAGUCAGGGCAAUUAGCACUUAACCCAGAUGUCAUCAUCAUUAUUAUGUAAGCGGAAGCGAUUUAUGCAUGAACAUUACUCAAAUUCAUAAGGAAUUAGACCAUGAUUAGUAAAUAACAUAAACCGAGUCUAAUUGGAGUUCUUAAACAGAGAUCAAACUGGCUCAAGAUACCAAUGUUAACAAUAAUACUUUAGAGUUAAGAUAACUAGGAUCUGGAUCUCUUGAUUAGAACACCCAUCAAGCAGAAUAGUGGUUACUAACCGUGAUUAUCUUGAUCCAUUAACAGGAUAGCCCCUGGCUCCACCUUAGCAUCUCCAGCAGUGAGAAGAUCGUCGGGAGGAAGGGCAUCAGUAGGCGAUGUAGCAGACACGAAGGAUGCCGCCGGCACGGACCUGGAGGUGGCCGGCGGUGGUGGUGGUCUUCUGAUCCCCUUAAGCAACCUUUCAGGAUCGGCUGUUAGGAGUAACCGGGUGCUAACCCGUACGUGUGUUACCCCCAAGGGGUACGACCUCCUCAUUUUGUAAGUGGUGCGAAGGGGACAGGGACCAAAACCAAAAGUUGGGUCAAUGCCCCCGAUCAGGGCAUGUACUGGGGAUGCAAAUCCUCCCCUUCUUUGUCUCAGUUUGUUAUAACCGUAGAUCAAUUCCAACACAGGGGAGACAAUAGAUCGAUGGAUGCAACGGUCAUCAGCGGUCGAGCACGGAGUAAAAUAGUAGGGGCGGUCUGGUACGAGUACAAGAGCCAAAUGCACGUUAAGCCGGCCUUGAUCCAUGUGCAUGCAUGCAUGUGAUCACAUGAAUCAAUGUAACAUCGUGCCAUGUGCACUCAGCGCCUAGAUCAGUGCAACGGUACUAUUGAUUAAUACUCUACCGCGCCCUGGCCGGCCAAAACAAAUACUGUCUACUCCAUAACCUUAAUGUUGAUGUGAACUUGCCCGGUUCCUAUAAAGAACAGUGCUGCAGCACCUAAACCUACA